RNAcentral lists this RNase P RNA (320 nucleotides) under bovine gut metagenome. RNAcentral's name for it is "Bacterial RNase P class A". It matches the Rfam family "Bacterial RNase P class A". From Rfam's summary of the family: Ribonuclease P (RNase P) is a ubiquitous endoribonuclease, found in archaea, bacteria and eukarya as well as chloroplasts and mitochondria. Its best characterised activity is the generation of mature 5'-ends of tRNAs by cleaving the 5'-leader elements of precursor-tRNAs. The record is from RNAcentral.
GCAGACCAGGCGAUCGCGUGCUUAUGCAUGAGGAAAGUCCGGGCUCCGCAGGGCAGGGAUGACGGAUAACGUCCGCCGCAGGUAACUGUAGGGAAAGUGCAACAGAAACAUUCCGCCGAAACGGGUAAUGCCGUGGUAAGGUUGAAAUGGUGAGGAGCUGUGGAGACACAGCUGCCGUGUAAACCCCAUCCGGAGCAAGACAAAAUGGGCAAUAUGUGGUGCGGCCCGUACCCGCCCAGAGGUAUGUCGCAUGAGGCCGCAGGCAACUGCGGUCCUAGAUGGAUGAUCGUCAGAUACAGAACCCGGCUUACGGUCUGCCC